Non-coding RNA from Cinara cedri, 294 nucleotides. The record is from the annotation of a GenBank genome assembly. NCBI's taxonomy places the organism in Eukaryota, Metazoa, Arthropoda, Insecta, Hemiptera, Aphididae.
GUAAGGCCACUGUUGUACAUCGUCUUUAAUUGUUUUAUAAGUACGAAAUUCGUAGACUUGUAGAAAAUAGUGACUUGGAUUUUCACUAGUAAAAAAAUUCCAGUAAUUCCGUAAUACAACUAUGGACGUGUCGUAUCGGUAUUUAUAUUCGUCGUUAAAUUUCAGAUAAAAUACCGGUUUCGAAGCGGUACUUUAUAAACAAUUAUGAGCGUAAUAAUUAUAAUAGAUGUAAAUGUAUCAGCGAUAAAAGUUUACUCGGGCUGUAACUCGCCUACAGCCAAACGGUUUACAGGU